GCUGGGCAUGGUGGUGCAUGCCUGUAGUCCCAGCUACUAGGGAGGCUGAGGCAGAAGAAUCACUUGAGCUCGGGAGGUGGAGGUUGCAGUGAGCAGAGAUAGUGCCACUGCAUUCCAGCCUGGGCGACAGAGUGAGACUUUGUCUCAA
This 148-nucleotide signal recognition particle RNA is filed under the name Gorilla gorilla gorilla (western lowland gorilla). Its description in RNAcentral is "Metazoan signal recognition particle RNA". It matches the Rfam family "Metazoan signal recognition particle RNA". From Rfam's summary of the family: The signal recognition particle (SRP) is a universally conserved ribonucleoprotein. It is involved in the co-translational targeting of proteins to membranes. Lineage: Eukaryota; Metazoa; Chordata; Mammalia; Primates; Hominidae. The record is from Rfam by way of RNAcentral.